RNAcentral lists this ribosomal RNA (497 nucleotides) under uncultured bacterium. RNAcentral describes it as "partial 16S ribosomal RNA". It matches the Rfam family "Bacterial small subunit ribosomal RNA", at positions 28 to 507 of the family's 1533-position model. The record is from RNAcentral.
GAUGAACGCUGGCGGCGUGCCUAAUACAUGCAAGUCGAGCGAACAGACGAGGAGCUUGCUCCUCUGACGUUAGCGGCGGACGGGUGAGUAACACGUGGAUAACCUACCUAUAAGACUGGGAUAACUUCGGGAAACCGGAGCUAAUACCGGAUAACAUGUUGAACCGCAUGGUUCAACAGUGAAAGACGGUCUUGCUGUCACUUAUAGAUGGAUCCGCGCCGCAUUAGCUAGUUGGUAAGGUAACGGCUUACCAAGGCAACGAUGCGUAGCCGACCUGAGAGGGUCAUCGGCCACACUGGAACUGAGACACGGUCCAGACUCCUACGGGAGGCAGCAGUAGGGAAUCUUCCGCAAUGGGCGAAAUCCUGACGGAGCAACGCCGCGUGAGUGAAGAAGGUCUUCGGAUCGUAAAACUCUGUUAUUAGGGAAGAACAAAUGUGUAAGUAACUAUGCACGUCUUGACGGUACCUAAUCAGAAAGCCACGGCUAACUACGUG